ACUAACAGGAUUCCCCUAGUAACUGCGAGUGAAGCGGGAAAAGCUCAAAUUUAAAAUCUGGCAGUCUCUGAUUGUCCGAGUUGUAAUCUARAGAAGUAAUGCCCGUGCUGGACCGUGUAUAAGUCUCCUGGGAUGGGGCGUCAUAGAGGGUGAGAAUCCCGUCUUUGACACGGACUACCAGUGUAUUGUGGUAUGCUCUCAAAGAGUCGAGUUGUUUGGGAAUGCAGCUCAAAAUGGGUGGUAAAUUCCAUCUAAAGCUAAAUAUUGGCGAGAGACCGAUAGCGAACAAGUACCGUGAGGGAAAGAUGAAAAGAACUUUGGAAAGAGAGUUAAACAGUACGUGAAAUUGCUGAAAGGGAAACGCUUGAAGUCAGUCGCGUUGGCCAGGGAUCAGCCUUGCUUUUGCAUGGUGUACUUUCUGGUUGAUGGGUCAGCAUCAAUUUUGACCGCUGGAAAAGGGCCUGGGGAAUGUGGCAGCUUCGGCUGUGUUAUAGCCCCUAGUCACAUACGGCGGUUGGGAUUGAGGAACUCAGCACGCCGCAAGGCCGGGUUUCGACCACGUUCGUGCUUAGGAUGCUGGCAUAAUGGCUUUAAGCGACCCGUCUUGAAACACGGACCAAGGAGUCUAACAUGCCUGCGAGUAUUUGGGUGAAAAACCCGAGUGCGUAAUGAAAGUGAAAGUUGAGAUCCCUGUCGUGGGGAGCAUCGACGCCCGGACCAGAACUUUUGGGACGGAUCCGCGGUGGAGCAUGUAUGUUGGGACCCGAAAGAUGGUGAACUAUGCCUGAAUAGGGUGAAGCCAGAGGAAACUCUGGUGGAGGCUCGUAGCGAUUCUGACGUGCAAAUCGAUCGUCAAAUUUGGGUAUAGGGGCGAAAGACUAAUCG
This 885-nucleotide ribosomal RNA is filed under the name Agaricus sp. ZRLWXH3092. RNAcentral describes it as "eukaryotic LSU rRNA". It matches the Rfam family "Eukaryotic large subunit ribosomal RNA", at positions 64 to 937 of the family's 3401-position model. The record is from RNAcentral. Lineage: Eukaryota; Fungi; Basidiomycota; Agaricomycetes; Agaricales; Agaricaceae.